AGAGUUUGAUCCUGGCUCAGGAUGAACGCUGGCGGUGUGCCUAACACAUGCAAGUUGAGCGAUUUACUUCGGUAAAGAGCGGCGGACGGGUGAGUAACGCGUGGGUAACCUGCCCUGUACACACGGAUAACAUACCGAAAGGUAUGCUAAUACGAGAUGAUAUGCUUUUAUCGCAUGGUAGAAGUAUCAAAGCUUUUGCGGUACAGGAUGGACCCGCGUCUGAUUAGCUAGUUGGUAAGGUAACGGCUUACCAAGGCGACGAUCAGUAGCCGACCUGAGAGGGUGAUCGGCCACAUUGGAACUGAGACACGGUCCAAACUCCUACGGGAGGCAGCAGUGGGGAAUAUUGCACAAUGGGCGAAAGCCUGAUGCAGCAACGCCGCGUGAGCGAUGAAGGCCUUCGGGUCGUAAAGCUCUGUCCUCAAGGAAGAUAAUGACGGUACUUGAGGAGGAAGCCCCGACGG
This 464-nucleotide ribosomal RNA is filed under the name uncultured bacterium. RNAcentral describes it as "bacterial SSU rRNA". It matches the Rfam family "Bacterial small subunit ribosomal RNA", at positions 8 to 499 of the family's 1533-position model. The record is from RNAcentral.